This 563-nucleotide ribosomal RNA is filed under the name uncultured fungus. RNAcentral's name for it is "eukaryotic LSU rRNA". The stretch from base 171 to 324 matches the Rfam family "5.8S ribosomal RNA". Lineage: Eukaryota; Fungi. The record is from RNAcentral.
UGUGUUUAUGCGCGUUGCUGCGAUUUACUUCGUGGUGACUGCGGUUUGGGGGUUGAGCGUCAGCCCUUCCCCUGCUUUUGCUUUUUUCAAGGCUACGUUUUCAUAUACCCUAUACAAUGUUACAGAAUGUCUUUAAAGAUUGUGCUUGGUCGCAGUCAUUAAACCUAUACAACUUUCAGCAACGGAUCUCUUGGCUCUCCCAUCGAUGAAGAACGCAGCGAAAUGCGAUAAGUAAUGUGAAUUGCAGAAUUCAGUGAAUCAUCGAAUCUUUGAACGCACCUUGCGCCCUUUGGUAUUCCGAAGGGCAUGCCUGUUUGAGUGUCAUUAAAUUAUCAACCUUGUUCGCUUUUACGAGCUUGAGCGAGGCUUGGAUGUGAGGGCUUGCUGGCUUCCUUCAGUGGAUGGUCUGCUCCCUUUAAAUGCAUUAGUGGGAUCUCUUGUGGACCGUCACUUGGUGUGAUAAUUAUCUAUGCCAUUUGANCUGUGAAGCAAAAUUAUGGGAACCUGCUUAUAACCGUCUCGCAAGGGACAAUUUAAUUGACUAUUGACCUCAAAUCAGGAGG